This 207-nucleotide ribosomal RNA is filed under the name uncultured bacterium. Its description in RNAcentral is "partial 16S ribosomal RNA". It matches the Rfam family "Bacterial small subunit ribosomal RNA", at positions 568 to 774 of the family's 1533-position model. The record is from RNAcentral.
UGCGUAGGCGGUUUGGUAAGUCAGAUGUGAAAUUCCUGAGCUCAACCGAGGAACUGCAUUUGAUACUGCCAGACUAGAGUACUGGAGAGGAGACUGGAAUUCACGGUGUAGCAGUGAAAUGCGUAGAUAUCGUGAGGAAGGCCAGUGGCGAAGGCGAGUCUCUGGACAGUAACUGACGCUGAGGCACGAAGGCUAGGGGAGCAAACG